UAUAUAUAUAUAUAUAUAUAUAAAAUCAUCUCUGCAGCAGAGACAACUUCUUCAAUUAAACAAAUUUGGGUAUAAAAGCACAGAGCCAGAAAAUUCAAGUAUCAUCUAAAUGACGUAAAUUAUUAGCAUGUUGUUUAUUUUCUAAAAGGGCUUGUUUUUUGAUUAGAAGUACAAAAUGCAUCCCUUAUGUCAAUGGGCGAUCUGUUGCAGAUCUAGGAUGACAAAUGCAAAACCUUGAUUAUUUAUUUCAAGUGAGACCAAGGGACAGUUCAAAGAAGCUGAUCAGAGAACCUCAGGUGGCUAGCAGCCAUUUGGAGAUUAAGCAGAUUGGUAGACAUGCUAAAGAGGUUGACUGAGACACACAAGGGCAAGAUGACACAAACACAUGAAUCAUCUUUUCCAAAAUCAGCAAACACUUAGGAAAGGUUUGAUUCUAUAGAUAUUUCUAAGAUAGAAGAAAUUUAUGAUUGGAACAGAAAUUAAUUGGCUUAGUCAAAUACAUGAAGAGAGCCUACAUUUAACAAGAAAAUACUUGUUAAAUUCGGGAGACCAAAUAAAAUGACAUCUGACUCUGUGACACAGAAUAUCAAGAAUCAAAGGUAUCCUAAAAUGGACCCUUAUGGAACUGAUAAUAUAAUAAUUGAAUAAUAGUGCCAAAAUAAUAUGACCUAAAGAUCUGUAUGACCUAAAGUUGUAUAACCAGUUCUUUCCUCAUAUCAUCUCAGGGAGUUUUCCUUGCCACUAUCACCUCUUGCAUGCUCAUUGGGGAUCUAAAUCUACAUACAGAUUUCUGUAAAGCUGCAUUGUGAUGAUGUCUAUUAUUAUAAGUGCUAUACAAAAAAUUUUAUUUUAAAAGGUUUAUCUGAAACAUUUGGCCACUAAAAUACAACAACGCAGCACACCACUCAAGAUGCCCAGCAUGAUUGAUAGUCAAAAGCUGUGCAAAUAUCCAAUACAAUUAAUAUGAAACAAUAAUCAGAAUCCAUGGCGAAUAACACAUUGUUGGUUGUAAAAUUGAGCAUUCAGUGCUAUGAUCUGCUCUAAAAUCUACACAUUAUUAAUGUACAUAUUUAAGGGUGUUACCUCACUUCCUCUUCCUCAGGUCAUUAUUAUGGUACACUGGCUAAUCUUAUUUUUCACCCCAGUCAUGUUCUUUUAUUGUUCUGACAAGAAACAUCCUCAUAUCAUCAGUAUCAAUUGUGCACAUGGCAUUUUUGGUGACAUUGUUUAUUGCGGCAUAACAGCUCCACUAAAGUGCAUUACAUUUCAUUCUACACAUGAGGAGAGUUUACUUUAGCUGAGAUGUGACAGAAUACACUAUAGAUUAUGGUGGCUGACUCCAUGGCAUGACAACAGCGGUUGUGAAUGAUGUACAGGUACCAUUUGCAGUAGCCUUGGGCACUGAGCAGUGGAGCUCAUGGAGCAAAGAGCAAAAAAGGGCAUUCCAUAAGAGACUAUUAGAUGCAAAAUUACAAGGGAUAGAGGGUAAUAAUACAACAAAUCACACCUAAGGAGAUAAUUACAUCGUUCCUCUCCUGGCUGAUAAACCACAGGUUGUGUGACUGAGAAAUGCACAGUUUCAUGAAAAGAAAGGUUGGAAUUGCUCCAUUUUGGGCAAGACACUUACGAAACAUGAUCUAGUUUACAGGUGCAAUCAAAAUUAUUCAACCCUCACUGCAAAUCAGGUUUAUUCUCAAAAUGUACAGACUUUCAGCUGUUUGCACUGAACAAAUCAAACAAAAGUAAUUGAAAUAGUUCAACACAAUGAAUGCUUCAAGUGGUUUCCCCAAAUUCAACUGAAAAUGCAACUAGUGAUUUUUCCAGUCUCAAAAUGAUCAACCCUUUCAUGGCAAGCACCUUUAGUACUUAGUAGAGCACCCUUUUGCUGUUAUGACCUGCUGCAAAGGAGAUGCAGAGCCAGACACCAGCUUCUGGUAGCAUUCCUGAGGAAUCUUAGCCCAUUCCUCAUGAGCAAUGGCCUCCAGUUCAGUAAUAUUCUUGGGUUUGUGUGCUGCAACUGCCUUCUUCAAAUCCCACCAGAGAUUUUCUAUGGGGUUCAAGUCAGUUGACUGUAAUGGCGUUGUAGAAUCUUCCAGGACUUUUUCUGCAACCAAGCCUUGGUGGAAUUUGAAGUAUGCUUGGAAUCACUGUCCUGUUGGAAGGUCCAAUGACACCCAAGCUUCAGCUUCACCACAGACGGCAUGACGUUUUCUCCUAGGAUUUUGUGAUACUUCAAUGAAUCCAUCUUGCCUUCCACAUGCUGCAGAGCAUCACCGAGCCACCACCAUACUUGACGGGGCAGAGUGUUCUUUUUUUCACUCUUCUUUCUCCAGACCUUUCUCUGAUCCAUUGUGCCGAAAAGUUCCAGUUUUGUUUCUUUGCUCCACAGAACAGAAUCCCCAAACUUCUGUGGCUUAUUUAUAUAAUUUUUAAUCCCCUUUUUCUCACUUGAAACUUCUGUGCCUGUUGCCACCAAGUCUUGCUGCAGGCCUUUUGCAGUCACUCAAAGGUUUUUCACAAUCUGCCUUCUCAGAAAUCUGGUUGCAACUGUUGAUAGCUUUCUUUUCCUCCCCAUCCAGGUAUUUCAUAUACUUUUUACCCCUAGCCAGUUCAGGUAUUUCAUGAGGCCCUUGAUUAAGUUGUAUCAGGUGUGCUUGAGACAACACCUGUUUUGCAUAUUUCUACUGUUGUGAGGGAUUCCAUUCAGGAGGUUGAAUACUGAAUAGGUUUGAAACUGCAGAAAUCAUUAUAAGGUGCAUUUUCAGUUGAAGUUACGGAAACCACUUGAAGCAUUCAUUGUGUUGAACUAUUUCAAUUGCUUUUGUUUGAUGUGUUCAUUGCAAUCAGCUGAAAGUCUGUAUAUUUUGAGAAUAAACCUGAUUUGCAAUGGGGGUUGAAUAAUUUAGAUUGCAACUGUAAGUGGGAUGGGUAGUUCUGCUGAUAGACAGUAUGGAUGUUUGGUCGUGAUCUUCCAGAGCAAUAAAUGAAUUCUAUGUCUGAUUAACAUUUGUUUAUGUUGACUUUAACAGAAACCCCUCUGCACUGGAUUCCAACCUGCAGAAUCGUUGGAAAUCUUGUGACCCUAAGCGAUAAGAAAGAAAGGGCACAGCACUCCACAGCAAAUUAAGCAACACACUGGCUCCAGAUGCUAGGAUAGUGUAGAUUAAUCAAUGCAUACCAUUAGAGGAGUACCCCUUUCCACAGGGUAUUUUUUCCCCCUGUCCAUCUUAGAGUUUUUCUUACCUGCUAAGAUUGGGAUUGGUUUAGUUCUUAAACAUUAUGAAGGUACUAUGUGCACUUGCUUGUUUUUUAUUUUCUUUACAAAACAGUCAAUACUCAAUCUUAGAAAAUGUUGAGAUACAUGUUUGGUACAGUGAAAGUGCUGUCCCUUUGCAGCAGCAAUUACAUAGUAUGUCAUCUUCCCUGAUAAAAAACUUAAUGAUGAAUUGAGCUAAAGCCAUAGAGCUCUGUGACAGUAAAAUAUAGCAAUAAUGAAGAUCCAUAUUUUCAUAGGAAGCAGUAAGCUUUCUUCUCACCCUGCCCUUUGUUAGAGCUUAAAGCACACUCACUUUACUAAUAAGAGCAAAUAUUGAAGCAAAGACCAGAAUAAAAGUUUUCCAUGCACAGAAUAAUUGCUGACGACCACAGAACGCUAUCCAGUUUAAUAAAUGGUAAGUAAAGGCAGCUAAUGGUACCAAGAAUACAACAAAAACCUUUCAGAGUGGCCCACGGCCCCACAGUUGGUGGCUAUGAGUGAAAAAGAAGGCCAGCAGCUGCUGCGUGCCAAAAGGCCGCACUAUCAGCUCCCAAUGGCUCCCAGAGACAGAUGGAGAGGACGCGUGACCCAAAGUUUAGAGCUGCGCAAAAGACACUCUGCUUUUAUCUUUGCAGUAAUGAAGAAAACUGGAGCUGGGUCUGGAUCUGCAAUGCCUCCAAGCUUACAGAGUCCCAGGUCAUCAGAAUGCACUCAUUCUGACUCAACAGCUAUAUCACCUUUUAACUGAGGGGGGAAAAAACACUUCUGAUAAAAACAUAGUAAUAAGACCCAAAACAAACUGAUGAGGCAUCGGUGGUUAACCAAGCCUCAAUACACAGUUUUCUUUAAGGUUAAUUGACUUCAAAAUGUUGAUGAAAAGUUAAGCAGGCAGAAACUACAAACUGAUCCAAAUUGGGCAUAUGCUGCCAAAAUCACUGCCUUAAUCAAUGUGUUGGUUUCAAUAACGCACUGAGAAAUGGCUGAAUUAAAGAAAGACACUUUUAUGCAAGGACUCCAAGCUCAGAAAAUUGCCAAUUAAAAAUGUGCUAUUCACAUUACUGGGCAAAAAUAUCAAUUAGGAGAGCUUCAAAGACAGUGUCAUAAAGUAACAUUGUUCUAAGCAGUAAGAAAUGUGCCAAGAAAGAGGAGUUAAGUGACCUUAGGUGAAUGUGCUAUUGAUCUAAUGGAUGGACUGAGACAGAGGGCUGGUGUGGGAGUGGUUGGAGGAUUGAUUUAGCUUGAUGAGUGCUUAAUUAAGGAGAUGGGCCUGUGGUUCCUCAUUGCUUGCUUGUGCAAUUAGAACUCAGGCCCAUUGCAUCCACACUUCCCAUGCUCUGACGGAGAACGUAAGAGCGAGGAACUUGAGCAUUGAUUAAAUUGACUGAAUAAAGGCCUUACAGACUACUAAUUGUAGAGAAAAUCUGGGAAUAGCUGUUGAUAAGGAAUGGAAAAUGGUGGGUGGAAGUUUUGCUUUUUUUAACAGCAAGCAGUCAGGACCAUGUGGUAAAAUAAUAAAAGUUGUACUAAUGAUGUGGAUAUAGAAAGGUUGUAUCUAAAAUCUGAAAUAACCUCGCUCUCUCAGCAUGCCACUGGAGCACCCAUCAUGCCAAAGGCACAUGUCAUGCAUACACAUUGCUGUUUACAGAGUUCUCAAGGUGACUGACUCUCCUUGAGAACUGGGUGUUCUACAAUGUUAAGCACGAUUAGAGCCACAGUGUGUCAUAAUCACAUACCGUGAGCGUGGGAGAAAAUAUCUACUACCACUUUACUUAAGUUCAUAGAGCUACAUACACCCUUUCAGACAACUGACAAAUCUCUGUAGACAUUAUAAAUGUUGUGUCAUGACAACUGACUUUACAGCUCCAGGCUGAUUAAAUAUGUCAUGAUAACUGACUUUACGGCUCCAGGCUGAUUAAAUAUGUCAUGAUAACUGACUUUACGGCUCCAGGCUGAUUAAAUAUGUCAUGACAACUAACUUUACAGCUCCAGGCUAAGAGUGUCAUUACAACUGACUUUACAGCUCCAGGCUAAGAGUGUCAUUACAACCGACUCUACAGCUCCAGGCUGAUUAAGAGCGUUAUGACAUCUGACUUUAUAGCUCCAAGCUGAUUAAGAGCGUUAUGACAUCUGACUUUACAGCUCCAGGCUGAUUAAAUAUGUCAUGACAACUGACUUUAUAGCUCCAGGCUGAUUAAAUGUCAUGACAACUGACUUUAUAACUAAGAGUGCCAUAAAUACUGACUUUAUAGCUCCUGGCUGAUUAAGAAUGUCAUGGAGAAUGACAUUAUAGCGCCAAACUGAAUAAGAGUUUCAUGACAACUGACUUUAUAACUCCAAGCUGGCAUUGCCAGAUUUUUUCAUCAGCUGUCUUUCAUCGCAUUGGCACUAAAUCUGCCACUGGUGCUCACAUCACAUAUCUGCAUUAAGACCACUGAUUACCACACCUCCAAAGAAUUUUUAAUAAUGUAUGAUUUUUGUCUGGAACAGCAAAAUCAGAUCAAAAAUCCUAGUGUAACAAAGACUUUAGCCUGAGUUUGGUUUUGAUGUUUGACGUUACGUCGUCACUAUUAUAUGAUCGAUAUAGAAGAAGUCUGAGUAACAUCAUCAACUGUCAUGAUGUUUAAACAUACCACAAAUCUGACAAUUCUCUGGCUGUUCACAACGUCAUAUCAAAAUAACCUUAAAUGUUUAUGCAGGGUUGUGUACAUGGUUAUGUAGCUCUAUGAACACUCUUCUUAAAAGUGUUACAAACUAUCUUGCGUAUACCAAGGAGCUGUGGAAGUUAAAUACAAUAUUUGCAAGAUAUUCUGGUUGACUAAACACAUAACCCAUGUUCUUUUGUGAGUUCUGUAUGUGAGUGCUGCUUGGUUGCUUUUGAGGGUUUCAGAGUCACAGUGGGAUUUAUUCAAACCCACAUCUCAGGAUACAUGUUGCCAAAGCAAAUAUCCAUGGGUCUUUUCUUUUCAGACAGUUUUUCAAAAGAACAUGCUGCUCUUCUUUGUUCAUGGCCUGUCAGGUGAGAUGAGUUCAACAUCUGACUUUAAUGUUAAGAGGCUAAAAUUCCCAUAACACAAUAAACUAAGGGAAUUCAAUCUUCAGUAACCUUGGUGUUUGAUGUACAAUGGAAGAAAAAAAACCCCCCACAAUAUGGUGAAAGUCCUCUAUCAAGGUCACAAUGUGUUAAAGGAAAAAAGAAGGAAAAAUGUGCACAGUUAAAGCUGACAGGCAAAUCCCAUUAAGUCUGAGUACAACAGUGCUGAUAUUGGAAAUAAGGAGGAUGAAAAGGCAGAUCUAUUAUCCUAAGCUCUCUCUGAAAUCUGUUUCUCGAUCGAUGGAUCAGCCUCCCUGUAGAUGUGCAGGAGCCUGUAUUCUUCCUCAGGGAUUUGUCCAACCAGAAAAACACCUCAAGCUUCUCCCAAGCUGUGUGUUAUUCUGAAUCUAUUGAAGGCAUUGCAGCACUAAGGUCUGCUCCUCUUUCUCUGUUCUCACUUACACACACACACACACACACACACACACACAUUUCGCCACUUGUUUAGCAUCUGGAGGCAAGAUAUAUAGAUUGCUCUGCCUAUGCUGAUUUCAGUGUUCAUACAAGCUAAAAUCCUGCUAGAGUUUAUGAGAUACGAGAUGAAUUGUCUCAAAUAGCAGCAACUGACAGGUUACUCUGACAACCCUUACAGAAAAGUCACAUGAACUUUACAUAAUAAUCCCAUUUAAAAUUUACACAUGGUUUUUAGACACUUCACACAUUUUAUGAUCAUGUCAUUAAUUUUACACAGUUCACAAACCUACUAAUAAUCACCACUCCAUUUUCAACUGGAAAUUCAACAUGGUAAUCUUAUUUUCCUAUUUUGUUCAAUUAUUCAUUAUUUUCAAAUUUAAUGUAUUUAUACUUUUUUUCAAAUGUGAUUUUUUUUCCACAAUUCAUUCAGUUUCACAAGUGAAGUCAGUUAACAUGAUACAUUUUUCC
Long non-coding RNA from Ictalurus punctatus (channel catfish), 7229 nucleotides. The record is from Ensembl. NCBI's taxonomy places the organism in Eukaryota, Metazoa, Chordata, Actinopteri, Siluriformes, Ictaluridae.